This 879-nucleotide ribosomal RNA is filed under the name Staphylococcus sp. Its description in RNAcentral is "bacterial SSU rRNA". It matches the Rfam family "Bacterial small subunit ribosomal RNA", at positions 52 to 913 of the family's 1533-position model. The record is from RNAcentral. Lineage: Bacteria; Bacillati; Bacillota; Bacilli; Caryophanales; Staphylococcaceae.
UACUAGCAGUCGAGCGAACAGACGAGGAGCUUGCUCCUUUGACGUUAGCGGCGGACGGGUGAGUAACACGUGGGUAACCUACCUAUAAGACUGGGAUAACUUCGGGAAACCGGAGCUAAUACCGGAUAAUAUUUCGAACCGCAUGGUUCGAUAGUGAAAGAUGGCUCUGCUAUCACUUAUAGAUGGACCUGCGCCGUAUUAGCUAGUUGGUAAGGUAACGGCUUACCAAGGCAACGAUACGUAGCCGACCUGAGAGGGUGAUCGGCCACACUGGAACUGAGACACGGUCCAGACUCCUACGGGAGGCAGCAGUAGGGAAUCUUCCGCAAUGGGCGAAAGCCUGACGGAGCAACGCCGCGUGAGUGAUGAAGGUCUUCGGAUCGUAAAACUCUGUUAUUAGGGAAGAACAAACGUGUAAGUAACUGUGCACGUCUUGACGGUACCUAAUCAGAAAGCCACGGCUAACUACGUGCCAGCAGCCGCGGUAAUACGUAGGUGGCAAGCGUUAUCCGGAAUUAUUGGGCGUAAAGCGCGCGUAGGCGGUUUUUUAAGUCUGAUGUGAAAGCCCACGGCUCAACCGUGGAGGGUCAUUGGAAACUGGAAAACUUGAGUGCAGAAGAGGAAAGUGGAAUUCCAUGUGUAGCGGUGAAAUGCGCAGAGAUAUGGAGGAACACCAGUGGCGAAGGCGACUUUCUGGUCUGUAACUGACGCUGAUGUGCGAAAGCGUGGGGAUCAAACAGGAUUAGAUACCCUGGUAGUCCACGCCGUAAACGAUGAGUGCUAAGUGUUAGGGGGUUUCCGCCCCUUAGUGCUGCAGCUAACGCAUUAAGCACUCCGCCUGGGGAGUACGACCGCAAGGUUGAAACUCAAAGGAAUUGA